Long non-coding RNA from Ictalurus punctatus (channel catfish), 1334 nucleotides. The record is from Ensembl. Lineage: Eukaryota; Metazoa; Chordata; Actinopteri; Siluriformes; Ictaluridae.
CUUGGUUGUAGCCUUCAGUUUCACCUGUGAAGACUGCAUUUUUUGUUAAAAAGGAUUAGCCAACAUAAAGAUAAGAGAGCUGUCUAUGGGAGUCAAGCAAGCCAUUUUGAAGCUGAGAAAAGAGGGAAUUAGAGUCAUUCGACAAACAUUGGGUAUAGCCAGUACAACAAUUUGGAAUGUCCUGAAAAAGAAAGACACCACUGGUGUACUGAGCAACAGACACCGUAAUGGGUCGGCCAAGGAAAACAACAACAGCUGAUAACAGAAAUAUUGUGAGAGCUGUGAAGAAAAACCCAAAAUCAAGAGUCAGUGACAUCACCAAAAACUUCCACAGGGCAUAGGUCAAGAUAUCACAAUCCACCAUUCGAAGAAGACUAGAAGAGCAGAAGUAUAGACUGCAGGGAGAAACCCCCUGAAACAAACAAGAUGUGAAAGAGUCUGUGGUAAAAGCCUGGAAAAGCAUCACAAAAGAAGAAACCAACAAUUUGGUGAUGUCAAUAAGUCUCAAGCUUGAUGCAGUUACUGCGGGGAGCCUGGCGGAAAGCCUGGAACCUAUCCCAGGGGACUUGGGGCACAAUGUUGGGGACACCCUAGACAGGGUGCAAACCCAUCGCAGGGCACUAUUCACACUCUACUGACAAUUUCGAGAUUGUCCAAUCAGCCUACAAAUGCCUGUCUUUGGACUGGAGGAGGAAACCCCUGAAGCACACAGAGCAGAGACCUGAUCGAGAACUUGCAAAUGCCUUGGUAGAAGAGUGGAGUAACAGCUCACAGCAAGAACUGACAAAUCUGGUGCAGUCCAUGAGGAUGAGAUGCACUGUAGUACAUAAAGCAGCUGGUGGACACCAGAUACUGACUGUUACUUUUGAUAUUGACCCCGCUUUGUUCAGGGACUCAUUAUUCCAUUUCUGUUUGUCAAAUGUCUGUGAAACUUGUUCAGUUUAUGUCUCAGUUGUUGAAUGUUUUUAUAUUAAUACAAAUAAUUAUGCAUGUUAAGAGAUUUGCUGGAAAUAAAAGCAGUUGUAUGUGCGAGGACAUUUCUUUAUUUGCUGAGUAUAUAACAUAUGUAGCCACAAAAAAUAAGUCUACCGAGUCGAUUCUGCUAAUUAUUAUUUACAGACCCUCAGGGCCUGACUUCCUUGAUGAAUUUGCAGAUUACAUGUUCAACCUGGUUGUUUCUUUAGACAAAGCAUUAAUUGUUGGCGACUUUAAUAUUCAUUUUGAUAACCCGGAAGACCCCCUGAAAACAGCAAUUGUGUCCAUUCUAGUUUUAGUAGGGGUCAAUAAGAUAAGCAUAAUAAGUAAUAGGACCCACUCAUAAUGGUGGUCACACU